This is a non-coding RNA of Python bivittatus (Burmese python), 3389 nucleotides long. The record is from RefSeq and is a predicted model, not a curated record. NCBI's taxonomy places the organism in Eukaryota, Metazoa, Chordata, Lepidosauria, Squamata, Pythonidae.
UCAGGAGGAGGAAGAGGAGGACCACCUGGCAGGGGGAGCACCAGCGCUGGGUCCCUUUCAGAUGUAUCGGCCUUGGUGGGUGCCUACCAAUACAGCACCUUGAUCAUUAUUCCUCCCAUUAUAACGGACAUAACACUAUCAAGAUACUGGAACGCUGGUGAGAGCAUUAAGGAUGCUACGAAGAUGUCUGCCUUUUGUUCUCUAAUCCGCAUUAGCUGCAUAUACACCCAGAUUAGCAAAACACUCAUGUGAUCUAUACCCCAAAGCAUAAACCAUUUGAUGACUUGACUUGACCCAGUUCACACAACCUGCUAAAACAGCAGAGGGGUUCCCCCAACCUGCCUUAUCCCAUUUUAGCCUGGCUUAGCUCAGCAUGCUGUGCAGUCACAUCCACGUGUUUAUUUUGCUAAUAGUAUUUACCCUCUCCACAUUUCUGGGUGGAAAUGCAUUUACUAUUUCUUUGCCUACCAUGUUUGUACCCCACCACAACUGUAUGCAGACUGUCAGCAGAAAUCCCACCACAACGAGUCACCUAAGUACUCUGCGGGCACCUUGCAAAUAAUUGAAAUGUCCCUCGUGACUUUACCCAAGUGAGGGCGGCAUUUCACUAUAUAAGCUACUGGCUGGUGGCUUUGGAAGCCAACAUCACGCAGAUGGGAAUGCAAUAAAAUUGGACAGGCCGCCUGAAAAGUCUCUGGCGACAGAUUCCGGGUGUCACAAAAGGGAACACAACCUUCCUUUGCAGACCUGGGUUGCUUACUUGCCCUGGACUGAAACCCGGAUUUCAGAGGCGCCAGGACUUUAGCCAGGAGCAAAGUGCCAGCUAUAUGCUUCAAGGCAAUUAUGUACAUUCUGUCUCCUUAGGAAAUAUCAGCUUGAACAAACUGGUGAAGUGGAAGCUAACUGCUCUGUGCCCUCUGAAAACAAAAGCUUCAGAACACUCCCCGAGGUUUCCACCAAGUUUGGCAAGCUUCAUCCUUUGUCUUUUUUCCAGCCCAACAACAGAAGGUUGGAAAGAAUCACGGAAAGGGGUUUGGAACAGUCUGUCCGUCUGUCCAUCAGCAAGAGGUCUCUCUGAAAACACAACACCGUGGGACCAAAUUUGGCCGGGGGGGUGGGGAGAAGCCAGCCAAAGAAAGAAUGAACUCAACGAUGGGCUGGAUCAGGCUGAGGGCCAGCAGAGGAAGCCCCCCCAGCCCCCAUUCAUCUCUAUGGACGAGGCAGAUGGACAGGAGCUCAGAACAUUGCUACAUGCUGCAUUCUAAGCCCAGUCAUAGGCCCCAAAGCAGAACAUACACAGCCCACCCUGUGCUUCUAUGUGCGCGCGCACACACACUCACACACAAUCUUAGAUUGUUACACAGAAGAAAAUACAGAAGCUCUUGUGGCCACUGCUGUUCAAAGGAUUGGAAAGAAUUCCAGAAUGUCGACCGCAAGACCCCCAUCUUGCUUCCUCUCCGAUAUCUGCCCUUUGCACCCUUGCGCCCCAAUGACGAGCCUUCAUUCCAUGAUCACCAAACGCUUUUCUGGCUCUGGAAGCUUUUUGGUUCAUUCUUAGCACAGUCCAGGAAACAAACAUGAAAGGUUUUUAUUUGGUUUUGUUUUAUUUUCAGUCAGUUAUCCUUUCCUAUUUCACCUGAUGCUGCAAGGGUUCAGAACACACUUUGGUCGUGAAAUCAUUCAGAAAUCUUGAUGUAAGGAGUUUCAUUCAGAUGCCAGUGGGAAAAAGCAGCCAUGUCAAUUUCAUUAGGCAUUUAUUUUGUGAAGCUUGUAGAAGUCAGAUGUUUAUAUUGUGUGUUGGUGGGGGGGUAUGUGUGUGUGGGUAGAGAAAGACUUGGUGUAUGUCUUUGUGUAUACACACACAAAUAUACAUAAAUACACACACACACACACGCUUCAUACUAUUUCCUCUUCAUAUUUUAAUCUCCAGUAGCGGGGUUAGGUUUAAGUGAAAGACCUGUCCAGGGGUCUCCGCAAAGUGCCAAGGUUAAAAUUUCCUAGGAGGACAAGAGGAAGACGGGGGAAGAAGAGGAAGAGAUGAAGUUGAAAAUGAAGCUGUAGACAAGGAGAUGAAGGAGAAGAUGAAAAUGACAUAGAGGAAGAAGAGAUGGUGAUCAAGGAGAGGAGGAGAUGAUUUGCUUCUUAAAAAAGGAGAAAUGUAGGAUCUUCAGCGGUGGGCAUUUGGAGGCCCCACAGAUCUUGGCACUUGCCCCCAUCAUACCGGGUGGCAUUGGGAGGGAUGUCAGUUUCAAAGCUUAGACUUCAUAACAGUCAGAAUUGAUAGACAGAUGAGAGAUGAGAGAGAGAGAGAGCCAAUAACAACUCUUUCAUUGAUUGAACAGGGCCAGGUAUUUUGAAAGCUGAAUUAGAUUUUAAAACUCCCCUUAGGCAUAUUGAAACUUGGAUGGAAUUAAGCCUCAAAGAGAUAUAAAUGAAUUAACUGUAUCGUUAGAAGCCAGGAUUCAAGUGAGGGGUGGGGCAGAGAAAUUAUAAGAAUUGCCAGUUUAAUUUCAAUUAAUAGCUUAAUUUUUAAAAAAUGAUGUAAAGGAAGGAAAAACUGAUUCCCACCUGGAGAAGUUCUUUCUCUAAUUUGGGAAAGGGGUUGCUUUGCCAUGCGUGUGUGUGUGUUUUAAUUUAUUUAUGUCAGAUAUUAAGUGAGAUUUAAAUCACAGGAACCACCCAUGUUAAUUUAUAUUUAGAGUUUUCUUGAUAUCUGUUUCUACAGCAGCCUGGCCCUAUAAAAUGGAAAGCAUGAAAAUGCAGCUUUAACCUGAAAAGGUUCUGAGAUACAUGUAGGUGGAAGAAAGCAAAUAAAGGAAAAAUUAAUUGGAGCUGCUCUUUGUUCCCCACUUUACGUUAGGAAAUGUCAAGGCUGAACAACAAUCUGGUUAGGUUAACCUGAUCUGUAACGUUGCACCGUAUCCUGUUUCAUAUCUGGAUAUAGUAUUAUUUUACACACCUCAUUUCCCAUAAUACAAAGGCGCCGUUGUCUCACAUCUAUUGUACUUCCACGAGCAUCUGAAAUUCAGUCCCUGAAAUGGUGAAGGGUAGUUUUAUUUCCUUUGACCUCUGGCUUUGGUUAAUCAUAAACUUCCAUAAGUAACCUCUUGAGUAACUCAAUACUGCAUCUCAGAAUCUUUGAUCGAGAAACCCGUCCCGAUGCUGCCAAAUUAAGAAAUUUCUAAAAGGCAUUACGCGUGCAUCCGCCUUACUCCCUUUUGGCUCCAGUAUCAGUUCUGACACUUUUAUGGGCGAAACAAAUUGCAAUCUCUUCACUGACCCUGUUUAUUUUCAAAAUAACCCUGCAGGUGUCUAAACCCAACCUGAUUCCCUCAUCCUUGUAUUCUUUUCAAAGUGAUCUCAACACUCUUCUGAUUUUUUUUUUUUAA